AAAGUAAUAGUUAAAUAUAUAACAUUAAAUUGUCAAAUUAAAAUUGUAAUUAUACUUGCUUUU
Molecule: transfer RNA, 63 nt
Filed under: Asiopsocus sonorensis
Lineage: Eukaryota; Metazoa; Arthropoda; Insecta; Psocodea; Asiopsocidae
Description: tRNA-Asp
Source: RNAcentral